AUCCAGCUGACGAGUUCCGAAUAGGACGAAAUGUGCGUUCUGAAU
Molecule: non-coding RNA, 45 nt
Filed under: Schistosoma mattheei
Lineage: Eukaryota; Metazoa; Platyhelminthes; Trematoda; Strigeidida; Schistosomatidae
Source: RNAcentral